This 1054-nucleotide long non-coding RNA is filed under the name Mytilus galloprovincialis (Mediterranean mussel). Lineage: Eukaryota; Metazoa; Mollusca; Bivalvia; Mytilida; Mytilidae. The record is from RNAcentral.
CUGAAUACUAAAAUUUAUGAUAAAAGAGAUGAUUUUUCAUUUCCUAUCGUUAAUUAUCCAUUUUUAGAUGGUGACAUUCCCUUGUCACCAUCUUACGUGUUUAUAUAUCUCAACUUGUACGAUUCGCUCGUGUAUGUAACAAUGUUUUGGAUUUUAACGAGAGAAAUUUAUGUAUUACUGAAAAAUUAGGUCAUUAAAGAUUGCAUAUUUUGGCGUUAAUAUUGAUUCACUUAUAGGGUCUUUGCAUCGGAACUAAACAAAUUUAUUCAAAAACCAGUUGUUGGCAUGACACGAGUUAUGUUCUUCUCAUAUAUGUUAAGAUGGUAUGAUACUAAACCCCUAACGGGAAGGAUUGUGCCUGAUGUUCAUAUGAUGAAAUCAUAAUCUUUCAGUCAGUUUAAUUGAAGUCUGGAGCUGGCAUGUCAGUUAACUCCUAGUAGUCUGUUGUUAUUUAUGUAUUAUUGUCAUUUUGUUUCUUUUCUUUGGUUACAUCUUCUGACAUCAGACUCGGACUUCUCUUGGACUGAAUUUUUAUGUGCGUAUUGUUAUACGUUUACUUUUCUACAUUGGCUAGAGGUAUAGGGGGAGGGUUGAGAUCUCACAAACAUGUUUAACCCCGCCGCAUUUUUGCCUGUCCCAAGUCAGGAGCCUCUGGCCUUUGUUAGUCUUGUAUUAUUUUAAUUUUAGUUUCUUGUGUACAAUUUGGAAAUUAGUAUGGCGUUCAUUAUCACUGAACUAGCAUAUAUUUGUUUAGGGGCCAGCUAAAGGACGCCUCCGGGUGCGGGAAUUCCUCGCUACAUUGAAGACCUGUUGCUGACCUUCUGCUGUUGUUUUUUUUUUUUUUUUUUCGAUGGUCGGGUUGUUGUCUCUUUGGCACAUUCCCCAUUUCCAUUCUCAAUUUUAUUUAGAGUUAAGAUGACAAGAUUGGUUUUGAAAAGGUCAAUAAUUUCUACAGUAAAUGGACAUAUUUUUAUAAAUUCUUUCAUAGAUACAAAGAUUUGAUUAGUAAAUUUGGCUAUACCUGUAGAAAGCUUAUUAAAAAUGGUAUUUCACA